ACGUAGGGGGCAAGCGUUAUCCGGAUUUACUGGGUGUAAAGGGAGCGUAGACGGCGACGCAAGUCUGAAGUGAAAUACCCGGGCUCAACCUGGGAACUGCUUUGGAAACUGUGUUGCUAGAGUGCUGGAGAGGUAAGCGGAAUUCCUAGUGUAGCGGUGAAAUGCGUAGAUAUUAGGAAGAACACCAGUGGCGAAGGCGGCUUACUGGACAGUAACUGACGUUGAGGCUCGAAAGUGUGGGGAGCAAACAG
Molecule: ribosomal RNA, 251 nt
Filed under: uncultured bacterium
Lineage: Bacteria
Description: partial 16S ribosomal RNA
Rfam family: Bacterial small subunit ribosomal RNA
Source: RNAcentral